Molecule: long non-coding RNA, 1881 nt
Organism: Balaenoptera acutorostrata (minke whale)
Lineage: Eukaryota; Metazoa; Chordata; Mammalia; Artiodactyla; Balaenopteridae
Exons: 3
Source: RefSeq, a predicted model, not a curated record
UUUCGAGGGUCGGGUCUUGGGCCCCCGCGGGCGGGCAGUGCUGCGGUGCGGGGGGCGGGCGGGCAGGCUGGAGAGGAGCAGCCCGGGCCGGGUGGGGAGCCCAUACCGAAGCACGGACCAGACGCUUUGUUAGCUGGAGGCCCGGACUGCCUGAUCCGGGAGGUGGAGCCUGGUUCUGGACUCUUGUACGUAGUUUCGUUUCUGGCCAUUUUUUCUACCGCCAAAUGGUGAGUUAGGGCUGUGGAUCUUGAGAGAUGGCGUCGUGUAAAGGAAAGAGCCUACUUUGACUAAGUCUUGGGUCAGACUUCCUGAACCUGAGCUUACACCUGUGUAACAUAAAGGAGUUCGACUAAGUGAAGUCUGAGAUCACUACAACUCUGAAGUUUCCAAAGGGGAGAAGACAGGAGAAGGAAGCAGAAUCUGUGCCAGACUCUGCAGACGAUUCAGUGAAUGACCCCGAUUUAGUCCUUCCACCCCUCACCUACUCAGCUUUUUAUCUGUGAAAGUUGAAACCCUAAGGAGUAAGGGAUAGACACUGCCAGGAAGACUUCGGAAUUCAAAAACAGGGAGCUUGUGGCUUGGGCCCUGUUUCCCACCUGGAACUUUGCCCAACACAGGCAACUACAAUCAAGUAGAAAUGGCAACAUAAUAUGUUUAAGCAGAUGGCCAGGCAGCAUUGAUAACCACUCCCACUCCUGCAUGUUCCUUGACUACACUGAACUGAAAAGGAGGUACAGAAUUCCUUAAGAGAGUUACCAAAGAGCAAGGUGACCAGCAGCCAACUAAGAUUGUAAGAGACUUGUAUAGACAAAAAAUACCAAGUCUUGCAAACAAAGACCUAUGAUUGCUUAAUUCCAAUACCCUCUUACGUAUGGGCAAGGGAUCAGGGAGCACCUUCCAGAGCACAAACUCAAGACAUAUUAACUGGACUUCCCUGGUGGCGCAGUAGUUAAGAAUCCGCCUGCCAAUGCAGGAGGCACGGGUUCGAGCCCUGGUCCAGGAAGAUCCCACAUGCUGUGGGGCAACUAAGCCCAUGCACCACAACUACUGAGCCUGCGCUCUAGAGCCCACAAGCCACAACUACUGAGCCCACACGCCACAACUACUGAAGCCUGCUCACCUAGAGCCCCUGCUCUGCAACAAGAGAAGCCACCGCAAUGAGAAGCCCGCACACCGCAAUAAAGAGUACCCCCACUCGCCUCAAGUAGAGAAAGCCUGCACGCAGCAACGAAGACCCAACACAGCCAAAAAAAAAAAAAGGACGUAUUAACUGACCAAGAACCUCAUCUACUAGCUAAUUAGAGUGCCCUUACUUUCCUUAAGUGUAUACCAAUAUGUAAUAAAAUUAUCUUUAUUGUGCUGUACCAUGAUGUGCUACAUUCAAACCUGGUUUAAGAAAUGCAUAUCACCUAGAACUCUUGGUUUCCAAGAGCAAGAUGGAAAAAUUGGAUGAGACUUUGGCAUGUCUCCUGUUGGAGAAGAGAGUAUUUCAGUUGUCCAUGGUAUAAUUACAUUGUCUUAGACUAGGGCAUUUUAAAAAUUCUGUGUACUGAAAAAAGCACAAGUAUAGGUGCCGGGUAGCCAAGGGGUAGAAUGUAGUGAAAAACACUUUUGUAUGUCCAUCUUCUCAGGAGAUUCCUAUCCUUUAUGUAAUAAAGCUGUCAAUUAUGUGACUUUUCCCCUGUCAUAAAGAUAGGUACAUGAGCCAAGCCAAUCUCCAGAGUAAUGUAUGACAAUUUUACUGAGGUUAGACCCCACUGACCAUCUUUGGCACAACAGGGAGCAAACCUACCUUACCAUAUACAGGUGUACCUUGGAGGUAUUGCAGGUUCGGUUCCAGACUACCACAAGAAAGCAAAUAUCAAUAAAGUGAGUCACGAA